This 163-nucleotide long non-coding RNA is filed under the name Sus scrofa (pig). RNAcentral's name for it is "lncRNA (ENSSSCG00070015308.1)". The record is from RNAcentral. Lineage: Eukaryota; Metazoa; Chordata; Mammalia; Artiodactyla; Suidae.
UUUCUUUUCUCUCAUCACAGGUGGACGGGAUGGACGAUGAAAGCCUAUGUUUCAUGGAGAGUCUGAGUGACAGCAACCAUGAUGAAAGUGAUACAGCAACCCUCGAUGAUGUUGUGGAGGCCGGCGGGAGUGAGAAGACGGAGGAAGAGGCCCUGGCUCGGGG